UGUGUCUACCCUCUGAUUUAAAAAGUCAUGUAUUGGCUUUACUGGCUGUGUGACACAUUAAGUUGUUCUUUACCAAAUCCAGUUUUGUUAUUGUCUCUAGUUCUGCCCUAAAUAAGGUGUAGGGAGGCUGCUAAAGGUGAUCCAUUUCAAAUUUAGGAUUUAAAUUCAGGUCAGUCGACUCGUCUAAGAAAACAAGGUAAGAAAGAUAAGAAACAAGGUAAGAAAACAUUGAAAAAAAGCCCAAACUGAUCCUCAUUUAUUUAAAGCUGCUCUGAGGAACUUUUGGUUUGUGUUAAUCUUAGCGCCCCUUCUGGACAACGUAAUACCUCUUUCUCUCGUUUUGUACACAUUAAAGUAAUGUUUGCUAGACAAAACUUAUUCCUUUUCAUGUUAAACAUAGGGAUGUACCGAUACGCAUUUUGAACUCCGAUACCGAUACAGAUAUCUUUAACCCUACUAAACAUAAACACAGGUACUGUCAUGAGGAGGAGGAGGAGCUGUGUUAGCAUGCUUGACAGAGUGGGAUCACAGCAUCUACAAACACUGUGUUGGUUUGAGAAGUGUGGCUAAUACCAGCAGAGCCAGCAGCUAUGGUUGGGCGAUAUGGCUUAAAAGUAAAAUUUCUUCUUUUUUUAAAUUUUUUCACACGGAGCUUAUUGAACAAUUUUAAUUGAGGCCCUUAAUCUUGUGACUGUGAAAGUAGUAACAGAAAACCUGUUCUUAAUCCCUGGGUGAUAAGCUCAGCUUUGUGGUUAUUUGUAAAUAAGUUGUUUGGAGGCAGACACUUUGCAGAGCCUGAUCAUUGUUUAUUAAAUUCAGCUGUCAAACUCAUGUAAGGCUGCAUGGUUCCACUGGACCAUGACUUUUGUGAGGGAAUAAAACUUAAUCCUCCAGCUCUCUGGUUAGCAGCACAAUCAAAGUAAAUACUUGUUGUUUGGUAGCACAUAACUGGGGUUAAUCGUUUGAAGCAUGUGGAUAAACCAUAGACUGUAUAUACUAUGGACAACUUGGUUAUGCCCUCCACCAGUAUAUGGAUUUAAAUCCGAAAAGCUCUUGGUAUUUCCGCGUUUUUUCUCCAUUUUCCUAAUACCAACAUUGCGCAGUAGGGUUGUACUCACUCCACCACUUGCACAGUGGCAUUGUGCGCAUUUGGUGGGAGAGUCGCCAAGAGUCGCUGUGAUGACGCUCGGCUCAAACAGCGUAUCCCCCACGUGAGCUGCGCAAUCUUCGUACACCCAUAGGCUGUAUCAAGUGCCAAUCAUAGAAAACAUGAACCCCCUAAUAACUUUUAAAAACGAGGACUUCAGCACAAACCAGUCUUACAGUAACUACAUGUCAACAUUGCAAGCAGGGGUGAGAAAAAAUUAUAUUCUGUGUAAUAAAUUUCUAAAGUUUGUCCACAACUCCAUAGGGAUUGCUGGAGGAGGCGGGAUUUAAAACCUAUACUGCAGCCCGUCACCAGAGGGUGCUGUUCUCAGGGUGGCUUCACCGAGCGAGGAGGCAGACGGCGUCCAUUCUAUAUACAGUCUAUGGGAUAAACCCAGACUUUGCCAUAGUAUAAAUAGGCAUAUAGAUAGGGGUUGGUAAUAAGAUGUGAUUGCAUAGUCAUGAUUUAGUUAUCCACUUUUUAGCUAUUUAUCCAGAAUAGUUUAAUUGUGUUUUUCUGCUAUUUGUAAUUGUUGGUUUUGUCUAAAAUAUGUAGUACCUGUGACAAACAAUCCAGCCACCCCAUCGCUCCCCCCACUCACAAAUCCUUGGGAAAAUGACUUGUUUUUCUUUGGUGAGCUGGCAAUAACAGUUUCUAUUUAAGUAAACAUCUUUCUGUGACUGUACUGCCAUCCAAAGUUUUUUUCUGUAUCAUUUCAUACUCUAGUCUUCGUAUCAGAAGCUGCACCUGGAAGAAAAAAAUGGUAUCAGGACAUCUCCAGUGUCACCUGUCAAACUCAGUUUGUUGGCCUGCCUGUAUGUGUCUUGAUACGUUUGUCCACCAUCAGUCAUAAACACACAUAGUGUUCAUAACUGUGAGUGUGGUGUGGUGCCCCUGUUUUACCUCAUACCUCUCUUUUCUUCAAGAGUGUGUGCUUCACUGUUAUCACAAAAAAACAGAUAAGAAAGAAUCCUCACAAAACUUACCCCAAACAUGUGACUUCCUCUAACCACUGAGAGGGAAAAAUUCACUUUGUAUCAGUGGAAAAUUCUUAAAACAACUUCCCAUCUGUCUGCAACCACAGUUUGUCCACAAGCAUAUAAACACACACACUCUCACACACUCAUACACACACAUUAAUAAGGCUGUAUUAAGUUAAAAGCAUUGAUCCCAUCUCGCUGCAAUUACACACAAGCUCCUUUCAGUUUCCAGUAAAGGUAAAUAACUCCAGCAGCAUUUCUCUGAAUGUGCUCCCUUGUGCAUAAACACACAUAUUUAACUAAUGCACUCAUCAAAGUCCUUCCGUCUGAAAUGUAAAAAAAACCCCGACAACCUUCACUGUGAUUUAUGAAAAACAAAAUCCACUGCUUCUUCAAACCCUUGCCUGUGGUUUUCCUUCAAACGGGUGCUUUGCUAGCUGACUCACUGGCUGAAGUACAGCGGAUUUCCACUUCCACUUUGGCCCGGUCGUCUGAAAUGGUAAAGAAAAAACAGCAAGGCGGGGAAGAGUAACGGAGGGAAGGAGGAGAUGGAGAUCUGGAAGCCAUUAGAAGCUGGCAGCUGUGUGCUGGAGUGGCUGAUUCAGAGGAGGAGGGAGAAAAAGAAGGAGAGAGGGAGUAUAUGGCAUAUGAUUGCCAUAAUGAAUUUAAUAUCUGUGCAUGUGCAGGUCAUUAAUGCAGAGCCUUGUGAUUAAGCAGCGGGGAAGAUAAAGAAUAUCAAAAGUCAUUUUCUAAAGGCAGUCGUUGCUCUUUACAACUCCCACUGCAUUUCCUCUGUGGAGCAAUAAGGUCUUAUCUGCUUGUUUAUCCAUCCUUUUAUCUGUUUUCUAUUUAUUCCACACUUCCUUCCUCUCUUGGUAAGUAUGUACCACACAAACAGAUACGCACACACGCGCUCACACACCAACGCAUGUCUCUACUUUGAAUCCCCUCGAGGAUCAGAGCUGAAAAGAGAACUUAAGAAAUUCAGCCAGCCACAAAGAGAUGUAAAACUGACCAUUGGUUAAGGCCCUCCCCCAAACAUAAACAAAAUGUAGCCUAGCAACCAUAACUAUUAUAUAGUUAUAUAGAGUAUAUCUUCCAUUAUCACAUGGCUGUAAUACAUAUCAUAGUAACAGUCUGACAAUCCUGACAAUCCUUGAUAGCUGAUGAUUUAUCAUCAACACUUCGGUGUUUCAAAAUUUACUAGUUGUCGCCUUUAAGCACCAUCCUCAGUGUGGUAAAUUUCACUGUUGUAUUCAACGCCUCUGGCAUUUUCUGUUAUCAUCCCAUAAACAAAUUGUGUUAAAAUAACUGGAUGUCUUUCUCCACCCUGAUGAGAGUGUAGUUAUACUGCGUUCCAGUUGUACUCAGAAGUCAGAAUAUCCGAGCUCCGAGUCAGAAAACUCAUCUGGAACCCCCCCGAAAGCUCUUGUAAUGUUUUAUUUAUUAGCACUUCUGUUUUGUUUUUCAGAAAGUGGUAUAUGUUGUACUGCCCAACGUCUAACUGUGAACACGGUGCUAUGGUGUUUGUAAGAGUAAAAUACUGUGUAGCUAACAACAAAUAACAACCGCUGACGACUGCUAACAACAGCUGACAACAGCUAACGACAGCUGACAAUUGUAAACAAUAGCUAACAACGGCUAACAGUCAGCGUCCAUCUUGGUUUUCCGACCGGUUUCCUGAAAUGCCGUCAACUCAGGUGUAGUGUCAUUCCCAGCUCCAUUAUCUUACUUCCGAGGUAACUGGAACACAGCAUUAGCCCUCCAGAGUCUGUGGUAGUACUUACAGUCUGUUCUUCAUAGCAACAGUGUGCUACCAAGAAAUAGCAGACUGUUUCUUUAAGUGCUGCUAAGUAAUGACAAGGCUUAAAAUUGGGGGUAUUUUGAUUAGGUAUUCUCCCAAAGUUUAAUCCAUGUGACCUGCAUGCUUCAUGUAAGCUUGACCCUAAGCACAUGCACCCUCUGGCAGAUGCAUAAAUUAGAUAUUUAUUUUAAUACCAAGCUUAAUGGAUGUAUAAGGGUUGUAGCGAUUUCACUGUUUAAAACAUACAGGUGUAUUUUUGUGUGUAGAAGGGGCAUGAAUGAAAUGACAAGUGUUACACGAUAAAAUACAAAAAGGUAUGUUGUAGAUGAUAAUGAACAUAAGACAGUCUGAUACUGAAAGUAGUAUUGCAUGUGAUACUGAAGGUAAUCCAUUCCAACAUUGAAGAUUGAUGUUGCACUAUUAUGAACACAAGAAAGUUUGCACAUAAGAUGGCCAAUACUGAAGAGAUGAUGCUGGAAAUAAAAUCACCAUAAAUUAUAAUCUCACUAUAAUAAAUGUGAAUACAAACUUAUAACUCAUAGUCUUCUUUCAAAGUGGGAGUUAAUGAAUUGACUGUUGCAGGAGCAUAGUAAACACUAUUGUGCAAUGAUGUACAUCACGUAGAGUGGGGUCUGUCCCUGACCUUUUAGAUUUUCAUGACUCGACUCAUUUUAACUUGACUUGUUAUUGCUUGGUUGAUUUCUGACAAAACUCACCAAUCAAAACAUUAGCUUCCUCCACUCUGCUCCCUGCUCCUCCCCUUUCCUCCUUGUUUUCAAUGUUGUUCUCCUCACUCUCUCUCUUGUGUCAUCUCUGGUGGUCUGAAAUAAUCACUUAGGUGGUCUGACUCCCGUGUGGGCCUCUAGGUCGACAAGGGGGAACACAGACAUUAACCGGGUCACAGAACACACACAGAAAGAGAAAGAGAGAGGGGUUUUUACCUGGCAUGAGUCACUUUGAUCACAGAGAACAACAGUCAUCCUUGUUAGACCCCUGACAGAUUGAAAACAACAUUCACCUCUUAAACUUUAUACUGAAAGCUUGUGGCUUGAAGCAGACACUGUGCCGUAGUUUUUACUCACAGAGAAUCUUGCAAAAAGAAAGUGAGAAAAGCGAAACAGGUUGACACAGAAAUGUUUCUCAGUUUGUUCAAGGCUGUUUGUGAAAUUUCUCUUUGGUUUGUCGUAAAGCCCAAACUCUCCCCAACUAAUACUAUCAGUUACUGUUAUUGGUAAACAGCAAACUGCUCUAUUUUUCUAUGUCUAUGAUUGACUGGUGGAAAUUUUUAUGUUAAUUUCAUAAUUGAACCAGGCCUACACCAGACAGGAGAAAGAACUCAUCAUUGUGGUAUGAUGCUCAAUAUUAUGCUCAAAAGGUCUGAGGGUCCUGGGCUGUUGCGCAUUUUGGUUUCCAGUGGCUUUACAAACAAAUAUUGAAAUAGAAAAAGAAUCAAAAGAAAAUGGACUGAAAUGAAGACAGUCUCCUCAGCUCGUAUUGUUAUUUUUUUCUGUUUCUGGAUUUGAUCACAAAGCCAGACUAAGUGCAGCUCUCUCAUCUGUCGAUAUUUAGCUCCCACUGUUAGAAAUCAUUCAUAGGCUACACUAAAACAGCUCAACACUACACACCAGGACCUUUUCCAUGAUUUAGAGUAGUUUUAGAUUUCAAUGCUUUUGUAAUAAAUAGCAUCCAAUAAUUGAUCUUAUGUUUUACCCGAUACAAAAGGCUUCAAAAACUCAAAGGACAUCUUUUCAUAACUGGUAUUUCAACUUGAGUACUUUUUGGAUGAUGUAAGCUUUCAGAAGGACUAAAAAUGCGUAGGUUGUCCAUUGACUCUAAGAACAACCCAUUUAGUAACUCAGUAGAUACUGAGCUAACAGGCUAACAUUCUGCUACAGCCAGAGAGAUGACAUGUUUAUUAGCCAACAUUAGUAUUCAGCUAGCAAAUAGUAACCAUAUGGUCCUGUAAUUGCCCUCAGCUAGUUUGCUGUACGUUAAGUGAGGUAAUAUGGUUUACUUGUCAAAAAGUAAAGUGAGGUAUCUGUUAACAAAGACGUCCUUUUUGAUUAUAAUUACUUUGUUAAUUCUGUUGAAGUUAAUGGAAGUAGUUAAGUAGCUGUUAAGUACAUAUUGUCAAUAAUGCAUUAAUAUGCAAUUGCAAGAUGCAAACAGGAGAACUACAUUUUUUUCACAAAGCCUAUUGGAUUAGGAAAGCUAAGUGUUAAAGUUAGAAAUAGCCUGAUUUUGAUAUUUUUUUUUAAAGGUUGAUACCAAUACUGAUUAUAAUAGAUUUUGAGAUCAAUAAUAGAUAACAUAUUUUGGAAUUGAUGUGCAUUUAUAAAAGGAAGGGGUUCACAAACCUGAAUGAUAAUAUUUCAUUCCAGGACUCAUCAUUUUCCUAUGUUUAGAUGCUUGAUAAUACAAUAUAAAUUUACUGAAAGCAAGCUUGCAAUAUCUUCAACAUACUAAUAACUGUAAUCAGUCAACAAGCAAUUCGUGUCUUUAGUUCUAUUUGAUGUGUGACAAACAAGUCAGGGAGAAAGUUGUUGAACAAUAAUGAUAGCUGUUGAGCAACUUUGUCACGAGUUAUGAAAUAUGCGGGGUUAAAAGAGCGACAUAAAUUUGUGUCACUGGGGAGCAUUUGGGGCGAAAGAAGAAAGAGUUAUGACCGAGUUGUAUUGAGUAAGCGUGCAACAAAGACCUACUUUCUGAAGGCUAGCAUUUAUGCAGAUGAGGCGCAUGAAAUGGCUCUGAUCAACCCCCAAAGCCUUGAGUGAUUUUACAUAUUCUUUGUUUUUCAUAACAAUAAUUCAUGACCUCUUUUAAAGCCAAAAAUAAUGUACAAGACAAAAAAGUGUUUCCACGCACGUCAUUGCGGUAACCAUAUUUUAGCUGAUUUGAAACUGGUUGAAAGGAGGUCUUAGAUGUUUUAACCUUUUUGAUGUUGAUGUCCUAUUCAGUGCUCACUCACUCAACAUUUUCCACUAACUACUCUCAAUAAUGUGUCCAGAAAUCUGUUUACAUUUUAGCCCGCAGUUAGAGAAAAAGAGGAACUAAAACCUGCUAAAAGAGAAGUGAGACAACUCUGAGGGGUGUAAGGACACAGAGAAGUGUAGAGUAGUUUGAGGAAGACGAAGUUAAGGCUCCUCGAGGAACUUCGGGUGAUUUUGGUGACUGCUGUCGACAACCUGGUCCUAAUCUCACCCUCCUCACUUGUUACACUGAAUGCUUAUGCUUUUUCUGUGGGAUGUUAAAGAAAAGGCUUUAUCAGCAAUAGACUUGGGCGACUAAUUGGAUUUCUAUGACGAAUAUGGCUCCCCAUGAGCAUAAAAAUAUAACUGAGUAAACUGCUGUGUUUCCCCUCUUACUUCCCGUAUAUUCAAUGAAGCCCACCCUCUCCUUCUCACUUCAUGAUUGAGGGCUGAGGUUGAUGUGAAAGUUUUGGAGCACAAGGAAGUUGCAGCUCCCACUAAGAUUAAUGAAGGACUGCUGUUAUGCAACGGCAGGACAAACUAUCAGGUAGUCCCACGUGGAGAGAGGAGAGCAGGGAGAGGAGCAGGAGGAGGCAGUGUAUCUGAAAAAUAAAACAAAGCUCCUAAAGUAUAUUAUCCUGCUGGACUGACGGACCUGCUUCAGUACACAAAAAAAUGAAGGCUGAACAAUUUUUCUCUUAUUGGGUUUAUUAAUGAGGUUUUGAUUUUUGCCAUUGUCGAACAGCCCUUAUCUACAGUGAGCUUAACCCCGUGGUCUGACAUCUCCCCACAUUUUUUAGGCAUUAAAGAUGACCAAUUUAUAAAGGACAACUUGUAAAAGUGGAAAAAGUGUAUAAACCUUGGCAUUCAUCUUCAUUAUGCACCACCUUUUUUAAUUGCCAUUUGUCCUGCAGAGCAAAAUCUGUAAUUAUUUGUCUAUGUGUCUUCAAAGCAUUUAAUUAGAUUUUAAGGAGUGUUGAUCUUUCCUUGGAAAAAGGUGGGAGCAGUAGUGGAAAAUCAUGUGCGUGACAUUAACCUCAUGUCACAGCAGAACUUGGUAUGAUAUUGACGUUAGUGCUUAAAACAGAAAGAUAACACUUCCUUUUGGUAUAUUUAUAGCACACUUACUCAUGGAAUAAAGCAAAAAAUAACUUUGUUUAGGUCAGUUCCACCCAUGACCCACUCCUGAUCUGUCUUUCUGGAGAAGAUCUGUGGGACGUGUGUUAAAGAAAGGUGGAGAAAUGACAUGAUACACUGGCUUAUCGUCAUCCUCAGUCACUCAGUCAUGUUCGAUUUCGUGGAGAUUGCUUCAAGAUUAUGACACUAGAUGUAAACGUGUGAACUUUCACGUCCACAGAGUAUGUGAGUGGGAAUAGUUAAUUCAUAAAAUAAAUCAAAGUACAGGUUUAAAAACAGUCCACACAUCUUGUGAACACCAGAAUAGAGGCCAAAAAGAUAUUUUUAACACUGACUUUCUUUUUGGAAAAACUUGUGACGGCCUCAUUAGGAACCUAUUUUUAUCUCGCCUUUUUCUAUUUCUUUGUGGAAAAUCUUGUUCUUCGCUCAAAGCUAUUUCCUCCUAUCUAACACAAAUUCAAAUGCUGUUGAGAUAAAUCCUCCCUUGAUUUGUGGUUUGUGAAAUGAUUGGGCAAUAGCCUUCAGCCUGUGUAUUGACGUACACAACUUGAAAUUGAUGACUCGACUUCUGAAAACUUCUGCCGUAUGUGACAAAUCUGCCAGUAUCUCAACAGCCGUGGGCUCUAUUGCAUCAGAUGAAAACCACAAACAGAUAAAUACACAGCAGUUUGAAUGAAGAGGGUGUGGAGAAAUAAUAUUAACUCCUUAACAGUGUGAUGACCUGCAGUAAUGCCUUUGGGAAAGUUGUUAGAGUGACUGAGAAAUUCAGUUUUGUGCCAAUUUUUGGGGGCCUCUGUGUACAAAGCGGUUCAUCCACCUGUUUGUUUUAUGCAAUUUGAAUAGUCUGUUUCACUACACUUUAAAGCCUUAAAGUGGAUCUUAUUUUGGUUGGUCACUGCUUUUAUUCGCCACUGGAUACAUCAACAUAAACCUUGUGGAGAUAAUCAUAAUCCUAAGAGGAUGAACCCUGCAGGGCCUGCUGACCUCCCUUACUCAAACACCACGAGGGGACAUCUGUUUUUUUUUUAAAUAAAUGUCUCAGACGGUUGUAUCUUCCUGAUUUCUGCUGCUGCUGGAAACAGUGACACCACUUUUGGUGGUUUAAACAUCAUCAGGGUACGCUGAAGUUGUGCUCCACCUACGAGCUGAACAUGCAAGUGCAGCUGAUCAGGCUAGUGUCAGUGGGCAACCGUGCCACAAAACAGCACAUGACCACUGACUAUGGACCAGUCAACAUGGUGAAAUGGAUGUUGUCGUCUAAUGGAUGUCCUCUGAUUAACAUGAUGUGACUAAUUGUGUGUCUUAGUGUUGUAGGAACAGUAUUUUCAGCCAUACAGAACCACUGUGAGAAAGAUUAAAAGUUAACCAGCAAUUCCAUUUAUGAGUAAACAAAGUUAUCUCAGUAUAACAUUGAUUAACGUUCGAUUUUGUACGUGAUCUUCUGCAUAUUUCUUAAAGUGCAACAGUCUUAUCUUUCAAAAAUGACACAACUGAAACCCUGAAGAGUGCAACUGCUGAGACAUUAACCAGAGAUCACAGUAGAGAGUCAGCGAGAUAUCAGAGUUAUGAAUAUAGCACUGUUUGGAGAUCACUCUUAAAUAUUUCUCAAAGUGCGUUUAUGUUAACUUUUAAAGAACCACUCCAAUGAAAAUCCUGUUUUUCUUGUUGUCUACAUGUUCAUAUGGCAAAGUGCAAAAUUGCAUUUCUGAGUAUUUCUGCGUUCAAAUCGUUGAGGACCUCUGGCAGACCCAAAGGGCAGGUUCAGAUAGAGUGGGAUUUUUUACGUCACAAGUCCAAGCUCCUUUAAUCCUCUAAAUCUUUAGAAGAUUUCACAGCUCUAGUUUGAUUAGAAAUGAAAAUAGAUUUAAAAGAUAGAAGGUCAGACCUGGCUUUCUGUCUCUCUUUCAUUCAGCUGCUCGUGACGUCAUGAAGAGCUUGUGAGUGACGAUAGAGAGUUAAGAGAAUUUCUAAAAUUGUUUGACACAUCCCCCUCAGUGCACCAGUGGAAAGAUGUGGGAGAAUGAGGAAGUUACCUAAGCUGUAGGUAUGCCACAGCAGUAAUGUAAGCCUUUGCUUUUUGCGUGUUGCAUUAUAUUUCUUUGUCCAACAUUUAUUUUGUUCUACCUCAUUUAGAUCUAUUUACACCAAACAGCUUGAGCCUCUAAGCGCCGCAGCUACCCCUGCUGAAGGCACACUGAGAGCUUAUUGGACUCGGCAUCCUGCCACAUGAGUUGCUGCUUUCAGGGCCUUUCUCGUAAAUCUAUUGUGAAAGCUUCGGGGCUUUGACCAGCGCAAGCAGAGCAAAAAAUGGGAGUCUGAACGGCUGCUGUUUGAGGGAAAGAUGAAAUAAUACAAAGACAGGAAAAGGCUAUUGGCCAAAACAUGGGGAAAAUCCAGGGGAUGAGUCCAGCUCUGCAAACAUGUUCGCCACCUGAGGGCAAAAAUUCUGGCGUUGAAAUACUUUAUAAUGCAGUGAAAUGGCUGAUGGUGAUAGAUUACAUAGUGGAAUUGUACCCUGUGAUAUCUGAUCUACACAUCUGUUGUUUGUGCUCCUUAAAUGUGUGUG
This 10603-nucleotide long non-coding RNA is filed under the name Xyrichtys novacula (pearly razorfish). The record is from RNAcentral. Lineage: Eukaryota; Metazoa; Chordata; Actinopteri; Labriformes; Labridae.